This 503-nucleotide ribosomal RNA is filed under the name uncultured bacterium. Its description in RNAcentral is "bacterial SSU rRNA". It matches the Rfam family "Bacterial small subunit ribosomal RNA", at positions 501 to 1006 of the family's 1533-position model. The record is from RNAcentral.
CUACGUGCCAGCAGCCGCGGUAAUACGGAAGGUCCGGGCGUUAUCCGGAUUUAUUGGGUUUAAAGGGAGUGUAGGCGGUCUGUUAAGCGUGUUGUGAAAUUUAGGUGCUCAACAUUUAACUUGCAGCGCGAACUGUCAGACUUGAGUACACGCAGCGCAGGCGGAAUUCAUGGUGUAGCGGUGAAAUGCUUAGAUAUCAUGAGGAACUCCGAUCGCGAAGGCAGCCUGCGGGAGUGUUACUGACGCUUAAGCUCGAAGGUGCGGGUAUCGAACAGGAUUAGAUACCCUGGUAGUCCGCACUGUAAACGAUGGAUGCCCGCCGUUGGCGCCCUGCGCCUGCGGCCAAGCGAAAGCAUUAAGCAUCCCACCUGGGGAGUACGCCGGCAACGGUGAAACUCAAAGGAAUUGACGGGGGCCCGCACAAGCGGAGGAACAUGUGGUUUAAUUCGAUGAUACGCGAGGAACCUUACCCGGGCUUGAAUUGCAGUCACUGCCCACAGAGA